Molecule: ribosomal RNA, 505 nt
Filed under: uncultured bacterium
Lineage: Bacteria
Description: partial 16S ribosomal RNA
Rfam family: Bacterial small subunit ribosomal RNA
Source: RNAcentral
GACGAACGCUGGCGGCGUGCCUAAUACAUGCAAGUAGAACGCACAGUUUAUACCGUAGCUUGCUACACCAUAGACUGUGAGUUGCGAACGGGUGAGUAACGCGUAGGUAACCUGCCUGGUAGCGGGGGAUAACUAUUGGAAACGAUAGCUAAUACCGCAUAAUAUUGAUUAUUGCAUGAUAAUUGAUUGAAAGAUGCUAUUGCAUCACUACCAGAUGGACCUGCGUUGUAUUAGCUAGUAGGUGAGGUAACGGCUCACCUAGGCGACGAUACAUAGCCGACCUGAGAGGGUGAUCGGCCACACUGGGACUGAGACACGGCCCAGACUGCUACGGGAGGCAGCAGGAGGGAAUCUUCGGCAAUGGACGAAAGUCUGACCGAGCAACGCCGCGUGAGUGAAGAAGGUUUUCGAAUCGGAAAGCUCGGUUGUAAGAGAAGAACGGGUGUGAGAGUGGAAAGUUCACACUGUGACGGUAUCUUACCAGAAAGGGACGGCUAACUACGUG